UUCCGUAAGUGUCAACGAAGACA
RNAcentral lists this small nuclear RNA (23 nucleotides) under Arabidopsis thaliana (thale cress). RNAcentral's name for it is "snRNA_12019". The record is from RNAcentral. Lineage: Eukaryota; Viridiplantae; Streptophyta; Magnoliopsida; Brassicales; Brassicaceae.